Molecule: small nuclear RNA, 107 nt
Filed under: Microcebus murinus (gray mouse lemur)
Lineage: Eukaryota; Metazoa; Chordata; Mammalia; Primates; Cheirogaleidae
Source: RNAcentral
GUGCUCGCUUGGGCAGCACAUAUACUAGAAUUGGAACCAUACAGAGAAGAUUAGCAUGGCCCCUGCGCGAGGAUGACACGCAAAUUCAUGAAGCGUUCCAUAUUUUU